GAUCAUGGCUCAGGACGAACGCUGGCGGCGUGCCUAACACAUGCAAGUCGAACGGAGAUAAAGAUUUCGGUUUUUAUCUUAGUGGCGCACGGGUGAGUAACACGUGAAUAACCUGACCCAAAGAGGGGGAUAACACCUGGAAACAGGUGCUAAUACCGCAUAAGACCGCAAUGUCGCAUGACGAAGGGGUCAAAGAAAAUCGCUUUGGGAGGGGUUCGCGUCCCAUUAGGUAGUAGGCGGGGUAACAGCCCACCUAGCCGACG
RNAcentral lists this ribosomal RNA (263 nucleotides) under uncultured bacterium. RNAcentral describes it as "partial 16S ribosomal RNA". It matches the Rfam family "Bacterial small subunit ribosomal RNA", at positions 15 to 278 of the family's 1533-position model. The record is from RNAcentral.